This 2528-nucleotide ribosomal RNA is filed under the name Salmonella enterica. Its description in RNAcentral is "partial 23S ribosomal RNA". It matches the Rfam family "Bacterial large subunit ribosomal RNA", at positions 430 to 2925 of the family's 2925-position model. Lineage: Bacteria; Pseudomonadati; Pseudomonadota; Gammaproteobacteria; Enterobacterales; Enterobacteriaceae. The record is from RNAcentral.
UAUCCUGUCUGAAUAUGGGGGGACCAUCCUCCAAGGCUAAAUACUCCUGACUGACCGAUAGUGAACCAGUACCGUGAGGGAAAGGCGAAAAGAACCCCGGCGAGGGGAGUGAAAAAGAACCUGAAACCGUGUACGUACAAGCAGUGGGAGCACAGGUUUACCUGUGUGACUGCGUACCUUUUGUAUAAUGGGUCAGCGACUUAUAUUCUGUAGCAAGGUUAACCGUAUAGGGGAGCCGGAGGGAAACCGAGUCUUAAUUGGGCGUUAAGUUGCAGGGUAUAGACCCGAAACCCGGUGAUCUAGCCAUGGGCAGGUUGAAGGUUGGGUAACACUAACUGGAGGACCGAACCGACUAAUGUUGAAAAAUUAGCGGAUGACCUGUGGCUGGGGGUGAAAGGCCAAUCAAACCGGGAGAUAGCUGGUUCUCCCCGAAAGCUAUUUAGGUAGCGCCUCGUGAAUUCAUCUCCGGGGGUAGAGCACUGUUUCGGCUAGGGGGCCAUCCCGGCUUACCAACCCGAUGCAAACUGCGAAUACCGGAGAAUGUUAUCACGGGAGACACACGGCGGGUGCUAACGUCCGUCGUGAAGAGGGAAACAACCCAGACCGCCAGCUAAGGUCCCAAAGUCAUGGUUAAGUGGGAAACGAUGUGGGAAGGCCCAGACAGCCAGGAUGUUGGCUUAGAAGCAGCCAUCAUUUAAAGAAAGCGUAAUAGCUCACUGGUCGAGUCGGCCUGCGCGGAAGAUGUAACGGGGCUAAACCAUGCACCGAAGCUGCGGCAGCGACGCUUAUGCGUUGUUGGGUAGGGGAGCGUUCUGUAAGCCUGUGAAGGUGUGUCGUGAGGCAUGCUGGAGGUAUCAGAAGUGCGAAUGCUGACAUAAGUAACGAUAAAGCGGGUGAAAAGCCCGCUCGCCGGAAGACCAAGGGUUCCUGUCCAACGUUAAUCGGGGCAGGGUGAGUCGACCCCUAAGGCGAGGCCGAAAGGCGUAGUCGAUGGGAAACGGGUUAAUAUUCCCGUACUUGGUGUUACUGCGAAGGGGGGACGGAGAAGGCUAUGUUGGCCGGGCGACGGUUGUCCCGGUUUAAGCGUGUAGGUGUGUGUUCCAGGUAAAUCCGGUUCACUUUAACACUGAGGCGUGAUGACGAGGCACUACGGUGCUGAAGUAACAAAUGCCCUGCUUCCAGGAAAAGCCUCUAAGCAUCAGGUAACAUCAAAUCGUACCCCAAACCGACACAGGUGGUCAGGUAGAGAAUACCAAGGCGCUUGAGAGAACUCGGGUGAAGGAACUAGGCAAAAUGGUGCCGUAACUUCGGGAGAAGGCACGCUGACACGUAGGUGAAGUGAUUUACUCACGGAGCUGAAGUCAGUCGAAGAUACCAGCUGGCUGCAACUGUUUAUUAAAAACACAGCACUGUGCAAACACGAAAGUGGACGUAUACGGUGUGACGCCUGCCCGGUGCCGGAAGGUUAAUUGAUGGGGUCAGCGCAAGCGAAGCUCCUGAUCGAAGCCCCGGUAAACGGCGGCCGUAACUAUAACGGUCCUAAGGUAGCGAAAUUCCUUGUCGGGUAAGUUCCGACCUGCACGAAUGGCGUAAUGAUGGCCAGGCUGUCUCCACCCGAGACUCAGUGAAAUUGAACUCGCUGUGAAGAUGCAGUGUACCCGCGGCAAGACGGAAAGACCCCGUGAACCUUUACUAUAGCUUGACACUGAACAUUGAGCCUUGAUGUGUAGGAUAGGUGGGAGGCUUUGAAGUGUGGACGCCAGUCUGCAUGGAGCCGACCUUGAAAUACCACCCUUUAAUGUUUGAUGUUCUAACGUGGACCCGUUACCCGGGUUGCGGACAGUGUCUGGUGGGUAGUUUGACUGGGGCGGUCUCCUCCUAAAGAGUAACGGAGGAGCACGAAGGUUGGCUAAUCCUGGUCGGACAUCAGGAGGUUAGUGCAAUGGCAUAAGCCAGCUUGACUGCGAGCGUGACGGCGCGAGCAGGUGCGAAAGCAGGUCAUAGUGAUCCGGUGGUUCUGAAUGGAAGGGCCAUCGCUCAACGGAUAAAAGGUACUCCGGGGAUAACAGGCUGAUACCGCCCAAGAGUUCAUAUCGACGGCGGUGUUUGGCACCUCGAUGUCGGCUCAUCACAUCCUGGGGCUGAAGUAGGUCCCAAGGGUAUGGCUGUUCGCCAUUUAAAGUGGUACGCGAGCUGGGUUUAGAACGUCGUGAGACAGUUCGGUCCCUAUCUGCCGUGGGCGCUGGAGAACUGAGGGGGGCUGCUCCUAGUACGAGAGGACCGGAGUGGACGCAUCACUGGUGUUCGGGUUGUCAUGCCAAUGGCACUGCCCGGUAGCUAAAUGCGGAAGAGAUAAGUGCUGAAAGCAUCUAAGCACGAAACUUGCCCCGAGAUGAGUUCUCCCUGAGACUUUAGGUCUCCUGAAGGAACGUUGAAGACGACGACGUUGAUAGGCCGGGUGUGUAAGCGCAGCGAUGCGUUGAGCUAACCGGUACUAAUGAACCGUGAGGCUUAACCUUACAACGCCG